AGAGUUUGAUCAUGGCUCAGGAUGAAUGCUAGCGGCAGGCUUAAUACAUGCAAGUCGUGGGGCAGCAUGGUGUAGCGAUACACUGAUGGCGACCGGCAAACGGGUGCGGAACACGUACGCAACCUUCCUUUAACUGGAGAAUAGCCCGGGGAAACCCGGAUUAAUACUCCGUAACAUUAUGAAGUGGCAUCACUUUAUAAUUAUAGCUCCGGCGGUUGAAGAUGGGCGUGCGUCUGAUUAGGUAGUUGGCGGGGUAACGGCCCACCAAGCCUACGAUCAGUAACUGGUGUGAGAGCACGACCAGUCACACGGGCACUGAGACACGGGCCCGACUCCUACGGGAGGCAGCAGUAAGGAAUAUUGGUCAAUGGACGCAAGUCUGAACCAGCCAUGCCGCGUGAAGGAUGAAGGUCCUCUGGAUUGUAAACUUCUUUUAUUUGGGAAGAAACCCAUGAUUUCUAUCGUGGUUGACGGUACCAGAUGAAUAAGCACCGGCUAACUCCGUGCCAGCAGCCGCGGUAAUACGGAGGGUGCAAGCGUUAUCCGGAUUCACUGGGUUUAAAGGGUGCGUAGGCGGGUUGGUAAGUCCGUGGUGAAAUCUCCAAGCUUAACUUGGAAACUGCCGUGGAUACUAUCAAUCUUGAAUAUAGUGGAGGUGAGCGGAAUAUGUCAUGUAGCGGUGAAAUGCUUAGAUAUGACAUAGAACACCCAUUGCGAAGGCAGCUCGCUACACUAUUAUUGACGCUGAGGCACGAAAGCGUGGGGAUCAAACAGGAUUAGAUACCCUAGUAGUCC
RNAcentral lists this ribosomal RNA (795 nucleotides) under uncultured bacterium. Its description in RNAcentral is "bacterial SSU rRNA". It matches the Rfam family "Bacterial small subunit ribosomal RNA", at positions 8 to 796 of the family's 1533-position model. The record is from RNAcentral.